GCUUGCUUCUCUGAUGUUAGCGGCGGACGGGUGAGUAACACGUGGAUAACCUACCUAUAAGACUGGGAUAACUUCGGGAAACCGGAGCUAAUACCGGAUAAUAUUUUGAACCGCAUGGUUCAAAAGUGAAAGACGGUCUUGCUGUCACUUAUAGAUGGAUCCGCGCUGCAUUAGCUAGUUGGUAAGGUAACGGCUUACCAAGGCAACGAUGCAUAGCCGACCUGAGAGGGUGAUCGGCCACACUGGAACUGAGACACGGUCCAGACUCCUACGGGAGGCAGCAGUAGGGAAUCUUCCGCAAUGGGCGAAAGCCUGACGGAGCAACGCCGCGUGAGUGAUGAAGGUCUUCGGAUCGUAAAACUCUGUUAUUAGGGAAGAACAUAUGUGUAAGUAACUGUGCACAUCUUGACGGUACCUAAUCAGAAAGCCACGGCUAACUACGUGCCAGCAGCCGCGGUAAUACGUAGGUGGCAAGCGUUAUCCGGAAUUAUUGGGCGUAAAGCGCGCGUAGGCGGUUUUUUAAGUCUGAUGUGAAAGCCCACGGCUCAACCGUGGAGGGUCAUUGGAAACUGGAAAACUUGAGUGCAGAAGAGGAAAGUGGAAUUCCAUGUGUAGCGGUGAAAUGCGCAGAGAUAUGGAGGAACACCAGUGGCGAAGGCGACUUUCUGGUCUGUAACUGACGCUGAUGUGCGAAAGCGUGGGGAUCAAACAGGAUUAGAUACCCUGGUAGUCCACGCCGUAAACGAUGAGUGCUAAGUGUUAGGGGGUUUCCGCCCCUUAGUGCUGCAGCUAACGCAUUAAGCACUCCGCCUGGGGAGUACGACCGCAAGGUUGAAACUCAAAGGAAUUGACGGGGACCCGCACAAGCGGUGGAGCAUGUGGUUUAAUUCGAAGCAACGCGAAGAACCUUACCAAAUCUUGACAUCCUUUGACAACUCUAGAGAUAGAGCCUUCCCCUUCGGGGGACAAAGUGACAGGUGGUGCAUGGUUGUCGUCAGCUCGUGUCGUGAGAUGUUGGGUUAAGUCCCGCAACGAGCGCAACCCUUAAGCUUAGUUGCCAUCAUUAAGUUGGGCACUCUAAGUUGACUGCCGGUGACAAACCGGAGGAAGGUGGGGAUGACGUCAAAUCAUCAUGCCCCUUAUGAUUUGGGCUACACACGUGCUACAAUGGACAAUACAAAGGGCAGCGAAACCGCGAGGUCAAGCAAAUCCCAUAAAGUUGUUCUCAGUUCGGAUUGUAGUCUGCAACUCGACUACAUGAAGCUGGAAUCGCUAGUAAUCGUAGAUCAGCAUGCUACGGUGAAUACGUUCCCGGGUCUUGUACACACCGCCCGUCACACCACGAGAGUUUGUAACACCCGAAGCCGGUGGAGUAACCUUUUAGGAGCUAGCCGUCGAAGGUGGGACAAAUGAUUGGGGUGAAGUCGUAACAAGGUAGCCGUAUCGGAAGGUGCGGCUGGAUCACCUCCUUU
Molecule: ribosomal RNA, 1472 nt
Filed under: Staphylococcus aureus
Lineage: Bacteria; Bacillati; Bacillota; Bacilli; Caryophanales; Staphylococcaceae
Description: bacterial SSU rRNA
Rfam family: Bacterial small subunit ribosomal RNA
Source: RNAcentral